RNAcentral lists this ribosomal RNA (254 nucleotides) under uncultured bacterium. RNAcentral describes it as "partial 16S ribosomal RNA". It matches the Rfam family "Bacterial small subunit ribosomal RNA", at positions 524 to 776 of the family's 1533-position model. The record is from RNAcentral.
UACGUAGGGGGCGAGCGUUGUCCGGAUUUAUUGGGCGUAAAGAGCUCGUAGGCGGCUUGGCAAGUCGGGUGUGAAACCUCCAGCUCAACCUGGAGACGCCACUCGAUACUGCCAUGGCUAGAGUCCGGUAGGGGACCACGGAAUUCCUGGUGUAGCGGUGAAAUGACGCAGAUAUCAGGAGGAACACCGGUGGCGAAGGCGGUGGUCUGGGCCGGCACUGACGCUGAGGAGCGAAAGCGUGGGGAGCAAACAGG